ACUCCUACGGGAGGCAGCAGUGGGGAAUAUUGCACAAUGGGCGCAAGCCUGAUGCAGCCAUGCCGCGUGUGUGAAGAAGGCCUUCGGGUUGUAAAGCACUUUCAGUUGUGAGGAAGGUGGUGUCGUUAAUAGCGGCAUCAUUUGACGUUAGCAACAGAAGAAGCACCGGCUAACUCCGUGCCAGCAGCCGCGGUAAUACGGAGGGUGCGAGCGUUAAUCGGAAUUACUGGGCGUAAAGCGCAUGCAGGUGGUUUGUUAAGUCAGAUGUGAAAGCCCGGGGCUCAACCUCGGAACUGCAUUUGAAACUGGCAGACUAGAGUACUGUAGAGGGGGGUAGAAUUUCAGGUGUAGCGGUGAAAUGCGUAGAGAUACUGAAGGAAUACCGGUGGCGAAGGCGGCCCCCUGGACAGAUACUGACACUCAGAUGCGAAAGCGUGGGGAGCAAACAGGAUUAGAU
RNAcentral lists this ribosomal RNA (457 nucleotides) under uncultured bacterium. Its description in RNAcentral is "bacterial SSU rRNA". It matches the Rfam family "Bacterial small subunit ribosomal RNA", at positions 335 to 783 of the family's 1533-position model. The record is from RNAcentral.